AUACCAUGAUAAGGACAUCUCCUGAGUAGAUCUUUGAAUCUUUCUCUUCCAUCAUAAACUCUCAUCUUCAAGUUGAUGGAAAUAUGUGAUCUCAUUCCUCAAUUU
The sequence is a small nucleolar RNA, 105 nucleotides long. It matches the Rfam family "Plant small nucleolar RNA R71". Rfam says of the family: R71 is a member of the C/D box family of snoRNAs containing the C (UGAUGA) and D (CUGA) box motifs. Multiple nearly identical copies of this snoRNA have been identified in Arabidopsis, and it is thought to function as a 2'-O-ribose methylation guide for 18S ribosomal RNA. The record is from Rfam.